This 76-nucleotide transfer RNA is filed under the name Caudoviricetes sp. RNAcentral's name for it is "tRNA-Thr". It matches the Rfam family "tRNA". From Rfam's summary of the family: Transfer RNA (tRNA) molecules are approximately 80 nucleotides in length. Lineage: Duplodnaviria; Heunggongvirae; Uroviricota; Caudoviricetes. The record is from RNAcentral.
GCUGGCGUAGCUCAGUAGGAAGAGCAGCUGCUUCGUAAGCAGCUUGCCGAGGGUUCGAUCCCUUCCGCCAGCUCCA